AGACGAACCUGACGAACGUUAUUCGGAAUCACUGGGCUUAAAGGGUGCGUAGGCGGCACGGAAAGUUGGGUGUGAAAUCCCUCGGCUUAACCGAGGAACGGCGCUCAAAACUACCGUGCUCGAGUGAGAUAGAGGUGAGUGGAACUUCGGGUGGAGCGGUGAAAUGCGUUGAUAUCCGAAGGAACGCCCGUGGCGAAAGCGGCUCACUGGGUCUCUACUGACGCUGAGGCACGAAAGCUAGGGGAGCAAACGGGAUUAGAUACCCCGGUAGUCCUAGCCGUAAACGAUGAGCACUUGGUUGAAGGGUCCUCCAUAGCCCUCUAGCCGUAGCGAAAGUGUUAAGUGCUCCGCCUGGGGAGUAUGGUCGCAAGGCUGAA
RNAcentral lists this ribosomal RNA (377 nucleotides) under uncultured bacterium. RNAcentral's name for it is "bacterial SSU rRNA". It matches the Rfam family "Bacterial small subunit ribosomal RNA", at positions 523 to 898 of the family's 1533-position model. The record is from RNAcentral.